UGCAGUCGAACGGCAGCACGGAGCUUGCUCUGGUGGCGAGCGGCGAACGGGUGAGUAAUGCGUCGGAACGUAUCCAAUAAUGGGGGAUAACGCAGCGAAAGCUGUGCUAAUACCGCAUACGCCCUCCGGGGGAAAGCAGGGGAUCUUAGGACCUUGCGUUAAUGGAGCGGCCGACGUCUGAUUAGCUAGUUGGUAGGGUAAAGGCCUACCAAGGCGACGAUCAGUAGCUGGUCUGAGAGGAUGAUCAGCCACACUGGGACUGAGACACGGCCCAGACUCCUACGGGAGGCAGCAGUGGGGAAUUUUGGACAAUGGGCGCAAGCCUGAUCCAGCCAUUCCGCGUGAGUGAAGAAGGCCUUCGGGUUGUAAAGCUCUUUCAGGAGGGAAGAAACGAUUGUGGCUAAUACCCAUGAUUAAUGACGGUACCUUCAGAAGAAGCACCGGCUAACUACGUGCCAGCAGCCGCGGUAAUACGUAGGGUGCGAGCGUUAAUCGGAAUUACUGGGCGUAAAGCGUGCGCAGGCGGUUUUUCAAGUCUGAUGUGAAAUCCCCGGGCUUAACCUGGGAACUGCGUUGGAAACUGAAAGACUAGAGUGCGGCAGAGGGGGGUAGAAUUCCACGUGUAGCAGUGAAAUGCGUAGAUAUGUGGAGGAAUACCGAUGGCGAAGGCAGCCCCCUGGGUCGACACUGACGCUCAUGCACGAAAGCGUGGGUAGCAAACAGGAUUAGAUACCCUGGUAGUCCACGCCCUAAACGAUGUCAACUAGUUGUUGGGGAGGGAGACCUCCUUAGUAACGCAGCUAACGCGUGAAGUUGACCGCCUGGGGAGUACGGUCGCAAGAUUAAAACUCNAAGGAANUGACNGGGGGCCCGCACAAGCGGUGGAUUAUGUGGAUUANUUCGAUGCAACGCGAAAAACCUUACCUACCCUUGAC
This 935-nucleotide ribosomal RNA is filed under the name uncultured bacterium. RNAcentral's name for it is "bacterial SSU rRNA". It matches the Rfam family "Bacterial small subunit ribosomal RNA", at positions 56 to 985 of the family's 1533-position model. The record is from RNAcentral.